This 1440-nucleotide ribosomal RNA is filed under the name uncultured organism. RNAcentral describes it as "16S ribosomal RNA". It matches the Rfam family "Bacterial small subunit ribosomal RNA". The record is from RNAcentral.
CAGGCUUAACACAUGCAAGUCGAGGGGCAGCAUGGUCUUAGCUUGCUAAGGCCGAUGGCGACCGGCGCACGGGUGAGUAACGCGUAUCCAACCUGCCUUACACUCUUGGACAGCCUUCUGAAAGGGAGAUUAAUACAAGAUGUUAUCAUGAGUAAGCAUUUUCGCAUGAUUAAAGGUUUACCGGUGUAAGAUGGGGAUGCGUUCCAUUAGAUAGUAGGCGGGGUAACGGCCCACCUAGUCUUCGAUGGAUAGGGGUUCUGAGAGGAAGGUCCCCCACAUUGGAACUGAGACACGGUCCAAACUCCUACGGGAGGCAGCAGUGAGGAAUAUUGGUCAAUGGACGAGAGUCUGAACCAGCCAAGUAGCGCGAAGGAUGAAGGUUCUAUGGAUUGUAAACUUCUUUUAUACGGGAAUAAACGAAUCCACGUGUGGAUUUUUGCAUGUACCGUAUGAAUAAGGAUCGGCUAACUCCGUGCCAGCAGCCGCGGUAAUACGGAGGAUCCGAGCGUUAUCCGGAUUUAUUGGGUUUAAAGGGAGCGUAGAUGGGUUGUUAAGUCAGUUGUGAAAGUUUGCGGCUCAACCGUAAAAUUGCAAUUGAUACUGGCAGUCUUGAGUACAGUUGAGGUAGGCGGAAUUCGUGGUGUAGCGGUGAAAUGCUUAGAUAUCACGAAGAACUCCGAUUGCGAAGGCAGCUUACUAACCUGUAACUGACAUUGAUGCUCGAAAGUGUGGGUAUCAAACAGGAUUAGAUACCCUGGUAGUCCACACGGUAAACGAUGAAUACUCGCUGUAGGCGAUAUACAGUCUGCGGCCAAGCGAAAGCAUUAAGUAUUCCACCUGGGGAGUACGCCGGCAACGGUGAAACUCAAAGGAAUUGACGGGGGCCCGCACAAGCGGAGGAACAUGUGGUUUAAUUCGAUGAUACGCGAGGAACCUUACCCGGGCUUAAAUUGCAACCGAAUAUGGCGGAAACGCUAUAGCUAGCAAUAGCGGUUGUGAAGGUGCUGCAUGGUUGUCGUCAGCUCGUGCCGUGAGGUGUCGGCUUAAGUGCCAUAACGAGCGCAACCCUUGCCGAUAGUUACUAACAGGUCAUGCUGAGGACUCUGUCGGGACUGCCAUCGUAAGAUGUGAGGAAGGUGGGGAUGACGUCAAAUCAGCACGGCCCUUACGUCCGGGGCUACACACGUGUUACAAUGGGGGGUACAGAGGGCUGCUACCACGCAAGUGGAUGCCAAUCCCAAAAACCUCUCUCAGUUCGGAUUGAAGUCUGCAACCCGACUUCAUGAAGCUGGAUUCGCUAGUAAUCGCGCAUCAGCCACGGCGCGGUGAAUACGUUCCCGGGCCUUGUACACACCGCCCGUCAAGCCAUGGGAGCCGGGGGUACCUGAAGUGCGUAACCGCAAGGAGCGCCCUAGGGUAAAACUGGUGACUGGGGCUAAG